GACGAACGCUGGCGGCGUGCCUAAUACAUGCAAGUAGAACGCACAGGUUAUGCCUUUAGCUUGCUGCCCAUAUACUGUGAGUUGCAGAACCGCUGAAUAACGCUGACGUUACCUGUUCUGAUAACUUCGGAUAACUAUUGCAAACAAUAGAUAAUACCUCCUGAUAUUAAUUAUUGCAUGAUAAUUAAUUGAAAGGUGCAAAUGCACCCCUACCUUAUGGACCUGCUUUGUAUUAACUAGCAUGUGAGGUAACUGCUCACCUACCCGACUAUACAUAUCCCACCUCACAUGGUGAUCGACCUCCCUGCCACAGACACACGGCCCACACUCCUACGGAAUGCAGCACUAUGGAAUCUUCCCUGAUGCACCAAAGUCUGACCCAGCAACACCGCCUGAGUGAAGAAGGUUUUCUGAUCCUAAAACUCUGUUGUAAUAGAAGAACUGGUGUGAGAGUGGAAAGUUCACUCUGUGACGGUAUCUUACCAGAUACGGACGGCUAACUACGUGCCAGCAUCCUCUGUAAUACAUAGGUCCCGAGCGUUGUCAUCAUUUAUUGGGCGUAAAGUUAGCGCAUGCCCUUAGAUCAGUCUGAAGUUAAGGCUGUGGCUUAACCAUAAUACGCUUUGGAAACUGUUUAACUUGAGUGCAGAAGGGGAGAGUGGAAUUCCAUGUGUAGCGGUGAAAUGCGUACAUAUAUGGAGGAACACCGGUGGCGAAAGCGGCUCUCUGGUCUGUAACUGACGCUGAGGCUCGAAAGCGUGGGGAGCGAACAGGAUUAGAUACCCUGGUAGUCCACGCCGUAAACGAUGAGUGCUAGGUGUUGGGCCCUUUCCGGGGCUUAGUGCCGCAGCUAACGCAUUAAGCACUCCGCCUGGGGAGUACGACCGCAAGGUUGAAACUCAAAGGAAUUGACGGGGGCCCGCACAAGCGGUGGAGCAUGUGGUUUAAUUCGAAGCAACGCGAAGAACCUUACCAGGUCUUGACAUCCCGAUGCCCGCUCUGGAGAUAGAGUUUUACUUCGGUACAUCGGUGACAGGUGGUGCAUGGUUGUCGUCAGCUCGUGUCGUGAGAUGUUGGGUUAAGUCCCGCAACGAGCGCAACCCUUAUUGUUAGUUGCCAUCAUUCAGUUGGGCACUCUAGCGAGACUGCCGGUAAUAAACCGGAGGAAGGUGGGGAUGACGUCAAAUCAUCAUGCCCCUUAUGACCUGGGCUACACACGUGCUACAAUGGCUGGUACAACGAGUCGCAAGUCGGUGACGGCAAGCUAAUCUCUUAAAGCCAGUCUCAGUUCGGAUUGUAGGCUGCAACUCGCCUACAUGAAGUCGGAAUCGCUAGUAAUCGCGGAUCAGCACGCCGCGGUGAAUACGUUCCCGGGCCU
This 1378-nucleotide ribosomal RNA is filed under the name uncultured bacterium. RNAcentral describes it as "partial 16S ribosomal RNA". It matches the Rfam family "Bacterial small subunit ribosomal RNA", at positions 28 to 1381 of the family's 1533-position model. The record is from RNAcentral.